Molecule: long non-coding RNA, 548 nt
Organism: Glycine soja
Lineage: Eukaryota; Viridiplantae; Streptophyta; Magnoliopsida; Fabales; Fabaceae
Exons: 3
Source: RefSeq, a predicted model, not a curated record
AUUUGAAUCAGAAAAUUACAUUAAGAACUGGAUGCAAAAUUCAAAACGAGAUGUGUACCUAGGAGCCAACUUGAAUGGGUAACUUAAACUCAACAAAUGAAUUUAAAUAAUGUAUAAUAGUAUAAUAACAUAUAUUGGUCUCCACUGCAGUGCACAUUGGCAAAUGGUCGUCAUUUUGCCUAAGGAAAAUGUUGUCAUUUGGUUUUGUUCGUUGCAUAAUAAGCCAGACAACUAACUCAAAGGCAUAAUUAAUAGUGCUUUGAAAGGACUUGACGAUACUCAACAAAGUAAAUCCAAGACUCCUGCUAGGUGGAUUGUUGUUAAAUAUUUCACUGAUCCUAGACCAUUGGAACCAGAAAGAUUGAAGGCACUUCGCAACCAGUGGGCAAAGUACUAUUUGAAAGUGAAAAAUGAAACUUAGGAUGUUUAGACAAUCUUGUAAUUGUAGUUUAUAUUUACUUACUUAAUUUACAAUUCAUGUCUCAACAUUAAAUAUGUUUUAAAUUCAUAGUAAUUAGUAAAUUUCUUAUUGAAUUUUCUGGUAAAAA